AACCCGGAAGCCGCGGAACGCGGCAAUUCAGCGUCUCCUGUGGUCGAACCUGCCCUCCAGCCCCGGUAACGUGUGGCUCAAAAGGCUCCAACAUUCAGCUACAGGCUAAAGCCCGGGGGAGCCGCCGCAGAGCGGCAGUUCUGGAACUGGUCUAAUCAGUAUGAAGUGUUAAUAUCCAGUGAAUCAAUUACCUUUGAUGAAUAUCAGACUAAAUGAAAAACUCAGUCUUUUGUAACAGUAAAGAAGUUCCCAGUCAAAUAAUGGAAUGUUAUAAAAGCAAAAACAAACAGGAACUGGGCAGACAGCAUCUCAAACAGCACCCAGGAAAAACAGGAAGCUCUUUUGUCUGGGAUCAGUUAUACACGAAAGUGAAUUAAAUAAAGAACAAGGGAGCAUGGCCACGCCUCCUGUGAUUAGACCCUUCGCCAUGAAAAGUACCUGGGCCCAGCCAGGCACUCUACUCCACUGGGUCUUGAAAAAUACUUCAUAUGACCAUCUUCAAACCUACUACAGAGCGCAUAUAGGCAUCUCAAAUAGUUGAUAGCAGAAAACUAUUAUUAUUAUUAUCCUUUAUUUUUAUGGCGCCACAAGGGAUCCACACCGCCCAAUUACAGAGGACAUAAACAAAUAAGCAAAACAAGAAAACAUGUGCCGGCAUCUGACACCCAGGAUACAGGCUUGAGAUAAGCUCAGGACAGCAAACACUCUGCAGUGACAAAGUUGCAUUCACCCUUGUUAAGCUUUCCAAUCCUGUAGGGCUCUUGAAAUGCUGCAAACCUGGACCUUGGACGCUCUGUAUAUCUCAUUCCAUUGUAGUUUACAAUGGAGCUGUGUGCUCUGCAGACAUCCAUAUCUAAGUAUAACUUCACCCCUCUCCUGAUAUACAAGUGAAUAACCUCUCCAGCUCUCAAGGGCCCUGUGAGGCGCCUGAAUUCCUGCCCUCCACUCCAGCAGAGGAUUGCUCCAUUAACUCCUUCCCUGCUGCGGACUGGCACUGUAGCUCCUUCAUGCUUGGCACAAUAAUAUAUACAGAGAAAGCAGAUGAAAAUGUACUUUAAAAUCUAGGAAAGAGCCCUUGCGUGUUGCAAUAUUUACAUUACAUCACAUUUUCAAUUGUCAGUUUGGAAGGCAAGAGAGGUUUCUGGAGUUAAAAGCUGACUGUUUGAAAACGCAAGAUAACAAAAUCCAAAGAAAAUAUAAAGUGAGCGGCUUUUGUUACAGGGCGGGAUAUGGGAUCCUGUUAUUACUUACGCAUUUAACAGCAAAUAAUAUGAUGAGGUCGCACAAUAUAGACUGAAGGAUCAUUUUGGAAAAUAUUAACCAAAAAUACAGUAGUUUCGAGCCAGUACGUAUGAUUAAAGGUUUUAUUCUGGGCACGUCUGCCGUCAUGAACUGAAUGACUGUUUAAUGUUUUCCAAAGAUAUAACUAGAGUGGAAAGAAAUUAAGAUUUAGAUCUGCAGUUUAUAAAUGUAAUGGCCUUUGCCUGUCUAGAAAAGAAGUAUGAUAAAUUGUUGUCAAAUAAUCUAAGAUCUGUCACCUUUGUCUUGGUUGGUAAACGCCUUUUAAAACAACCCAUUGCUUGUGGAGGCUGCCAUUUUGUGGGAUUAGUUGAAUGCAGCCAUCAAUUUGCUCAGCGAUGUGACUGUGAGUGGUUCCGGGUCAAUUUGUAGGUUGCAUUCUGGGAAAUAGUAUCUGGUGUCACAAAAUGGCUACUUACUUGGUGUGUAUGUCACAGGUGCAGUUUAAAUAAAGCUAAUGAGCUCUUACAGAUAAAUUGAGCCAAGCAGACAAAAUGGCUACUGCUUGCAUACCAAUGUAGUAACAGAGCUGCUCUACUGUUGUUUCUAUAAUAAUAGAACAUAACAGUAAUAAUGUGAAUUAUAGACUUUUCUCACAAACCUUAGAUCUUAUAGCAGCAACUC
Long non-coding RNA from Pseudophryne corroboree (corroboree frog), 1923 nucleotides. RefSeq lists it as uncharacterized. The record is from RefSeq and is a predicted model, not a curated record. The transcript is spliced from 6 exons. Lineage: Eukaryota; Metazoa; Chordata; Amphibia; Anura; Myobatrachidae.